CUGAUGGGAAACCACCAUUGGAAGACAUCCUUGGGGCAUUCAUUUAUGAGACAAGAUCACGCUUCAACAAAGAUGAAUCACGUUUGGAUAAUAUUGAAACACAUGUGUCCAACAUGGGAGCCACAAUGAAGAAUCUUGAAGUGCAAAUUGGCCAAUUGGCUACCUCAAUGAAGUCUCAGCAAAAAGGAAAAUUUCCAAGUGAUACAGAGGUCAAUCCAAAGGAGCACUGUAAAGCUGUUGUAUUAAGGAGUGGCAAGCAAGUUGGAGAAAGUGAACUCACUGAAGAUAGCAACCCCACACCUGAUAAGGAGAAAGAACAAGUAGUAGAAGAGCAAGAAAAGCAGGCCAAAGGAACAAAUAAGGCCCACAAACCUUACUCCGUAUCCUUCCCUGACAACCCACCAAUUCUCACACCACCACUUCCAUUUCCACAGCG
RNAcentral lists this long non-coding RNA (436 nucleotides) under Olea europaea subsp. europaea. The record is from RNAcentral. Lineage: Eukaryota; Viridiplantae; Streptophyta; Magnoliopsida; Lamiales; Oleaceae.